This 497-nucleotide ribosomal RNA is filed under the name uncultured bacterium. Its description in RNAcentral is "partial 16S ribosomal RNA". It matches the Rfam family "Bacterial small subunit ribosomal RNA", at positions 28 to 507 of the family's 1533-position model. The record is from RNAcentral.
GAUGAACGCUGGCGGCGUGCCUAACACAUGCAAGUCGAACGGACAGACGAUGAGCUUGUGCCUUUGUCGUUAGCGGCGGACGGGUGAGUAACGCGUAUAUAACCCACUUAUAUUUCGGGGAUAAUUACGGAAAAGCGGAUCCAAUACCAGAUAAUAUUUCGAACCGCAGGGGGCGAUGGAGAAAGUUGGCUUUGGGGGAUGUAAUAGCGGGUCUUGCGCCGGAUGGGCUGGUGGGUAAGGUAACAGCUUACCACGGCUACGAUGCGUGGCCGACCUGAGAGGGUGAUCGGCCACACUGGAACUGAGACACGGUCCAGACUCCUACGGGAGGCAGCAGUGGGGAAUAUUCCGCAAUGGGCGCAAGCCUUACGCAGCAACCCCGCGUGAGUGAUGAAGGCCUUCGGAUCGUAAAGCCCUGUUAUUAGUAAAGAACAGCAGUGUCCUUAACCGUGGCGGUCUUGACGGUACCUAAUAAAAAAGCACCGGCUAACUACGUG